AGAAUAAAAGAACAUGACAACAUGAUAGCUGAAAUUUCAUUCAACUUUACAUUCAAAAAAAAUCUAUAUAUUUGGACCAAAGAUGAAUUACAGAUCUCUCAGAAAUUAUGCUAUAAGAAUACAGUUGGCCUUUUGUGUUUGUGGAUUCUCCGUGUGUGGAUUUAACCAACCACUAAUCAACACUGCAGACUCCAAAAAUCGGUGGAGAAGAAGAGGGACAAGGACUGAAAAACUGCCUGCUGGGAUCAAGAUCAGCUAUAUUAAAGAUUGAUGUAGUCUUUAUGAAAAUGUGCCUCAUUAGUUGGCUGCAAGAAAGUCAUCCAGCCUACAAAAGGAAAAAGAACUAUUUUAAUGGCAGAAUUCUCCACUUUCAUCUGUGACUUAAAGAAGAAAUAACUAGAGAACUCUUCAUAGACACUACUUUUCUUCACAACAACGCAUUUGUCAUUACAUAGUGCAAGGGGAUGUCAUCUGACACAUUCACAGAUAUUU
Long non-coding RNA from Sapajus apella (tufted capuchin), 492 nucleotides. RefSeq lists it as uncharacterized. The transcript has 4 exons. The record is from RefSeq and is a predicted model, not a curated record. Lineage: Eukaryota; Metazoa; Chordata; Mammalia; Primates; Cebidae.